RNAcentral lists this small RNA (98 nucleotides) under Flavobacterium saliperosum. RNAcentral describes it as "Flavo-1 RNA". Lineage: Bacteria; Pseudomonadati; Bacteroidota; Flavobacteriia; Flavobacteriales; Flavobacteriaceae. The record is from RNAcentral.
AGUUCGCUUCGCUCGUGUGGAACGGCAUCCUUUUUUGCUGUACCGAUAAUUCACCGAACAUGACAGCAAAAAAGAUACAGUGGAUAGCGGGAUCAAGC